RNAcentral lists this ribosomal RNA (586 nucleotides) under Entoloma nodosporum. RNAcentral's name for it is "partial small subunit ribosomal RNA". It matches the Rfam family "Bacterial small subunit ribosomal RNA", at positions 431 to 948 of the family's 1533-position model. Lineage: Eukaryota; Fungi; Basidiomycota; Agaricomycetes; Agaricales; Entolomataceae. The record is from RNAcentral.
UCCAUUUAUCUGGAGAAUGUAAUAACGUAAGGGAAAAAAAUGAUAUUACCUUACUAUUAGUGUUGUCCAAAACUGGUGCCAGAAGACUCGGUAAGGCCAGAGACGCAAACGUUAGUCGUCUUAAUCAGGCGUAAAGGGUAUGUAGGCUGCUUUAAAAGUUUAAUGAUAUCAAAGAUAUAUGUCCGCAGUCCUACGGUAAAAAUUAAGUAGAAUAAAAAUGCUUAAUUUUAACCGUAGGUCCGCAGUCUUACGGAAAAAUUAGAUGAAUUAAAGCUAGAAUCAAAUUGAGGAUAAUUAAAUAAUACUUAGUGUAGGGUUUAAAUCUGAUGAUACUAGGGGGAGUACUAACGGUGAAAGCUUUUUAUCUAGUAAUGAUUGACGCUGAGAAACGAAGGUGAGAAUAGGAAAUAGGAUUAGAUACCCAGAUACCUCUCACAGUCAACGAUGAAUGGUAGUUGUUAGUUAGUUUUAUUUAACUGAUAACGAUGUUAACACGAUAACCAUUCCGCCUUGCGAGUACGGUUGCAAAACUGAAACCAAAAAAAUUAGUCGGUCUCGAAGCAAACGAAGUGAAGCAUGUUAUUUA